This is a non-coding RNA of Otolemur garnettii (small-eared galago), 104 nucleotides long. The record is from Rfam. NCBI's taxonomy places the organism in Eukaryota, Metazoa, Chordata, Mammalia, Primates, Galagidae.
GUGUUCUCUCUGGCAGCACAUAUACUAAAAUUAGAAUGAUACAGAGAUUAGCAUGGUCCCUGUGCAAGGAUGACAACCAAAUUGGUGAAGCAGUCCAUAUGUAU